Sarcophilus harrisii (Tasmanian devil) is the source of this 46-nucleotide non-coding RNA. The record is from Rfam. NCBI's taxonomy places the organism in Eukaryota, Metazoa, Chordata, Mammalia, Dasyuromorphia, Dasyuridae.
ACAACGGCUCUUUUAAGAGCCACCCACUUCUCUCAACGGGAGAGCU